GACGAACGCUGGCGGCGUGCUUAACACAUGCAAGUCGAACGAUGAAGCCUAGCUUGCUAGGGGGAUUAGUGGCGAACGGGUGAGUAAUACGUGAGUAACCUACCUUUAACUCUGGGAUAAGCCCGGGAAACUGGGUCUAUUACCGGAUACGACCAAUCUCCGCAUGGGGUGUUGUUGGGAAGCGUUAUGUAGUGGUUAUAGAUGGGCUCACGGCCUAUCAGCUUGUUUGUGAGGUAACGGCUCCCCAAGGCGACGACGGGUCGCCGGCCUGAGAGGGUGAACGGCCACACUGGGACUGAGACACGGCCCAGACUCCUACGGGAGGCAGCAGUGGGGAAUAUUGCACAAUGGGCGCAAGCCUGAUGCAGCGACGCCGCGUGAGGGAUGACGGCCUUCGGGUUGUAAACCUCUGUUAGCAGGGAAGAAGAGGGAUUGACGGUACCUGCAGAGAAAGCGCCGGCUAACUACGUG
Molecule: ribosomal RNA, 471 nt
Filed under: uncultured bacterium
Lineage: Bacteria
Description: partial 16S ribosomal RNA
Rfam family: Bacterial small subunit ribosomal RNA
Source: RNAcentral